AGCGGCGGACGGGUGAGUAACGCGUGGGUAACCUGCCCUAUACACACGGAUAACAUACCGAAAGGUAUGCUAAUACGAGAUAAUAUAAGAGAUUCACAUGGAUUUCUUAUCAAAGCUGAGGCGGUAUAGGAUGGACCCGCGUCUGAUUAACUAGUUGGUAAGGUAACGGCUUACCAAGGCGACGAUCAGUAGCCGACCUGAGAGGGUGAUCGGCCACAUUGGAACUGAGACACGGUCCAAACUCCUACGGGAGGCAGCAGUGGGGAAUAUUGCACAAUGGGCGAAAGCCUGAUGCAGCAACGCCGCGUGAGUGAUGAAGGCCUUCGGGUCGUAAAACUCUGUCCUCAAGGAAGAUAAUGACGGUACUUGAGGAGGAAGCCCCGGCUAACUACGUGCCAGCAGCCGCGGUAAUACGUAGGGGGCUAGCGUUAUCCGGAUUUACUGGGCGUAAAGGGUGCGUAGGUGGUCUCUUAAGUCAGGAGUGAAAGGCUACGGCUUAACCGUAGUAAGCUCUUGAAACUGGGAGACUUGAGUGCAGGAGAGGAAAGUGGAAUUCCUAGUGUAGCGGUGAAAUGCGUAGAUAUUAGGAGGAACACCAGUAGCGAAGGCGGCUUUCUGGACUGUAACUGACACUGAGGCACGAAAGCGUGGGGAGCAAACAGGAUUAGAUACCCUGGUAGUCCACGCCGUAAACGAUGAGUACUAGGUGU
RNAcentral lists this ribosomal RNA (710 nucleotides) under uncultured bacterium. RNAcentral's name for it is "bacterial SSU rRNA". It matches the Rfam family "Bacterial small subunit ribosomal RNA", at positions 94 to 823 of the family's 1533-position model. The record is from RNAcentral.